AGACAGAGGUGGCAAGCGUUGUUCGGAUUUACUGGGCUUAAAGGGCGUGUAGGCGUCCUGAUAAGUCAGAUGUGGAAGCCUUGGGCUUAACCCAAGAAUUGCAUUUGAUACUGUCGGGAUUGAGUCGUGCAUGGGAGGGCGGAAUUCCUGGUGUAGCGGUGAAAUGCGUAGAUAUCAGGAGGAAGGCCGGUGGCGAAGGCGGCCCUCUGGGCAAUGACUGACGCUGAGGCGCGAAAGCGUGGGGAGCAAACAGGAUUAGAAACCCUAGUAGUCC
RNAcentral lists this ribosomal RNA (274 nucleotides) under uncultured bacterium. RNAcentral describes it as "partial 16S ribosomal RNA". It matches the Rfam family "Bacterial small subunit ribosomal RNA", at positions 523 to 796 of the family's 1533-position model. The record is from RNAcentral.